GAGUUUGUCCUGGCUCAGGACGAACGCUGGCGGCGUGCUUAACACAUGCAAGUCGAGCGAUGAAGCUCCUUCGGGAGCGGAUUAGCGGCGGACGGGUGAGUAACACGUGGGUAACCUGCCUCAUAGAGGGGAAUAGCCUUUCGAAAGGAAGAUUAAUACCGCAUAAGAUUGUAGUUUCGCAUGAAACAGCAAUUAAAGGAGUAAUCCGCUAUGAGAUGGACCCGCGUCGCAUUAGCUAGUUGGUGAGGUAACGGCUCACCAAGGCGACGAUGCGUAGCCGACCUGAGAGGGUGAUCGGCCACAUUGGGACUGAGACACGGCCCAGACUCCUACGGGAGGCAGCAGUGGGGAACAUUGCACAAUGGGGGAAACCCUGAUGCAGCAACGCCGCGUGAGUGAUGAAGGUCUUCGGAUUGUAAAACUCUGUCUUUGGGGACGAUAAUGACGGUACCCAAGGAGGAAGCCACGGCUAACUACGUGCCAGCAGCCGCGGUAAUACGUAGGUGGCAAGCGUUGUCCGGAUUUACUGGGCGUAAAGGGAGCGUAGGUGGAUAUUUAAGUGGGAUGUGAAAUACUCGGGCUUAACCUGAGUGCUGCAUUCCAAACUGGAUAUCUAGAGUGCAGGAGA
RNAcentral lists this ribosomal RNA (628 nucleotides) under uncultured bacterium. RNAcentral describes it as "bacterial SSU rRNA". It matches the Rfam family "Bacterial small subunit ribosomal RNA", at positions 9 to 655 of the family's 1533-position model. The record is from RNAcentral.